CAAAGGUAUAACACAAAGAAGAUAUCUAUUAGAAAUAAUCCAAAAAUAGAAACAAAAAAGAGAGAGACAACAAAGGUAUAACACAAAGAAGAUAUCUAUUAGAAGUAUUCCAAAAAUAGAAACUAAAAAGAGAGAGAUUACAAAGGUAUAACACAAAGAAGAUAUAGUAAUCCAAAAAUAGAAACUAAAAAGAGAGAGAUAACAAAGGUAUAACACA
Molecule: long non-coding RNA, 217 nt
Filed under: Lathyrus oleraceus (garden pea)
Lineage: Eukaryota; Viridiplantae; Streptophyta; Magnoliopsida; Fabales; Fabaceae
Description: Pisum sativum (pea) long non-coding RNA (PSAT_LNC023004)
Source: RNAcentral